This 468-nucleotide ribosomal RNA is filed under the name uncultured bacterium. Its description in RNAcentral is "partial 16S ribosomal RNA". It matches the Rfam family "Bacterial small subunit ribosomal RNA", at positions 28 to 507 of the family's 1533-position model. The record is from RNAcentral.
GACGAACGCUGGCGGCGUGCUUAACACAUGCAAGUCGAACGGAAAGGCCCUGCUUUUGUGGGGUGCUCGAGUGGCGAACGGGUGAGUAACACGUGAGUAACCUGCCCUUGACUUUGGGAUAACUUCAGGAAACUGGGGCUAAUACCGGAUAGGAGCUCCUGCUGCAUGGUGGGGGUUGGAAAGUUUCGGCGGUUGGGGAUGGACUCGCGGCUUAUCAGCUUGUUGGUGGGGUAGUGGCUUACCAAGGCUUUGACGGGUAGCCGGCCUGAGAGGGUGACCGGCCACAUUGGGACUGAGAUACGGCCCAGACUCGUACGGGACGCAACAGUGGGGAAUAUUGCACAAUGGGCGGAAGCCUGAUGCAACAACGCCGCGUGCGGGAUGACGUCCUUCGGGUUGUAAACCACUUUCGCCUGUGACGAAGCGUUAGUGACGGUAAUGGGUAAAGAAGCACCGGCUAACUACGUG